AGGAGAAGCUGUAUGUGGAGCUGAAGCACAUCCUCGCCCGGCAGCCCGGCCCGGAGGCAGCAGAGCAGCUGCAGCAGUGCAAGUGGAUCCUCAGAGAGAGAACCAAGAAGCUAAAGGCGUUGAUAGCAGAGCUGAGGAUGGUCGACUCGAAGAUGAAUGAGUACAAAAGUGAGAAUCAAAGAUUAGCUAAUGAGAUGGCAAACAUCAAGAAGAAGUACCUCAGUCAGAAAAUGGUCCACAGUGAGCAGAGGGGCCGCUCUAAGGUGGAGCAGCCGGAGCCCCUCCCCCAGCUCAGCACCAAGGCUCACUUCACAGGAGGAGGCUUCAGGAUCGACGUACCUGUGAGAAGAUAAGAACCUUAAAGAGCCAUCUGACAUAUUUUACUUCAUUUAAAGAAAGACAUCUAUACAGUGGUGCAGUGAUACACGUUAGUUAGCAUCACAACAGGUCUCUUAACAAAAGCCAAUUGCAUUUCACUGGAUUUGGAGAAAUACAGAAAAUAAGAUCUGUGGCUAACACACAUUGUGAUAAAUGUUUUGAAAAAGACAAGUUCGAUUUGACAUGAUUUGAGACAAGAUAACUCAAAGGGCUAAAAUUAGACCCUCCAGAAAAACGCGAUUCUGCGAUCGCAGAAUUUACCGCAU
This is a long non-coding RNA of Notothenia coriiceps (black rockcod), 644 nucleotides long. RefSeq lists it as uncharacterized. The record is from RefSeq and is a predicted model, not a curated record. Lineage: Eukaryota; Metazoa; Chordata; Actinopteri; Perciformes; Nototheniidae. The transcript has 3 exons.